AACUGUGCAUUUCAACUAUUUUGUCGGCUACUUGCUACCUUCCACUAGCACUAGUAUGAAAUACCGGUAACUCUGCCCAGCUAAGUAGAAGAGAAAAAAUCACCUUAGUUUUUGUUUACAACUUUGAUGACCCGUUUCUUAUUUGGAUCAGAUUACAGCAAGGACAAGCAAUAGGGUUACACAAUAGAACUCACAUACAUAGGUGACCUAUAACUUGGAUUGACACAGAAGCAUGGUGGCACUGGAGUAGACAGACCUUGCAUCAUCUGCUAGUUUGGCCAAACAAUAUUCAUCAGGGACAUUGCUUUCUACUUCAACAACUACUUUAGCAGCUGCAAUCCCAACUGCUAUACUUUGCAUGACAUCUAAACCAGCACACAAAGAAGCUAUCGUUCCACCAACUAAGCAAUCUCCAGCACCAGUAAGCCUCACUACUGAAGCAGGAAGUGCAGGAAAAUGGACAGCAAAAAGAUUUGACAUGGACUUGCAAAUUGAAGCACCAAAAAUAUUGUCCUUUGGGCAAACUGUACUAACAGCUUCAUACAACUGCUUACUGAAGUAAGGGGAUUGGUUUCCCUUGAAAGCAAGUCUCUGAAGAUUGAACUCUGCUUUGGAGCAUACGAG
RNAcentral lists this unclassified non-coding RNA (624 nucleotides) under Hevea brasiliensis (rubber tree). Lineage: Eukaryota; Viridiplantae; Streptophyta; Magnoliopsida; Malpighiales; Euphorbiaceae. The record is from RNAcentral.